GGCGUUUUCUUACAAAUAAAAAAAAAUGGAGUGAAGAAAACAAUGCUGCGGAGUUGAGCUGCCCCAGACUUUCUCACGGAGAAGGGAGAGAAGGGGCUGGCUCCUUUGGCUGCAUUGUCCGUGCCUUUCUCCUGCGACUUUCCGUCCUGCAGCCCCGGGGGGACGAGAUGUCCCCGAGCCCUGUUUCUGAUGGGGGGAGGCAUCAGCCUUAGGCGCUGUGCUUUCCGCUUGCUGUCCUAACAUAGCCGCGUAAAUGCCACCAGGGGCCAGAGCGUGUGGACCCAACGUGCCAAAGUGUGCAAGGCACUUCACAUGAGACUUCGUCCCUGCCUGAGACAGUUUACAGUCUGAAUUUCAGACAUGACACAAGAGGAGGAGAAAAUUACUGUUUUGGGAAGGGGAGUUGCC
Molecule: long non-coding RNA, 408 nt
Organism: Chelonia mydas (Green sea turtle)
Lineage: Eukaryota; Metazoa; Chordata; Testudines; Cheloniidae
Exons: 3
Source: RefSeq, a predicted model, not a curated record